GGGAUUUGAGUGUCAUCUUGAAAAGCAUGAUGCACUUCACUGGUAAUUACUUGUUUCUGGUACUGAGGGGAAUCCAGGACAAUGCUAAAGAAGCAUUAGUAUCUUCUCAUAUCUACUUAAGUUUUGCACUUUUUAAUGCAAUUGUAUGUACACAAUUGGUUGAUCUCCAAUUUUGCAUGGCCCUCAGAAGAUCAUUUGCCUGUGCACUAUCAUUUGGAAGUGUAACAAUUGAAGUAUAUUAAGUACCAGGAAAGGAUUUUGAAUAUCUUAUGCCAUUAACAGUUUCUGAGUUGGAACAAAUUAUUGAAGUUGGCACAUGCACAUAGUUAUACAUUUGCAUGAAUUAGCAAAACCCUGCUCCAAAACCCUGGCUCCAAAACCCUGGCUCCAAAGGUGAAUAUGAACUAAUUUAAAUUGCUCGAGAGCAUAUCUUCUGUCUUAUAGUUUGUGUCACUCCAUGUGCCAUGAGCUUGUGAUUGGUCAGAAAAAAAUAUAUUUAAGUUAAAAUUUCAUUAUUAAAUAUUUUUCUGAUCAAUCACAAACUCAUGGUAUAUUGAGUGGUACACAUUGUGAGACAGCAGAUGUGUACCCAAAUUGCUCAGUCUGUUGAAGUUUUUGCUUAUGUGGAUUUGGUCUUGAUUUUGUAUAAUCACAAGUGGGUUUACAAAUACUUUUUAACUACAUAUGUUUGGGGUCUUGAUGCUUUGGAAGCCCUUUGCUGGAGGAAUGUGAAAUACACAGUAGUCCCAGCAAUGCUAGAUUACAAAGCUUGUUAGGAUUUUUGAAAUGCUUUUCUUUCCUAUUAUAACACAAUAGUCCCAGCAAUGCUAGAGAUUUCCAAUUCUGUUGGUUUUUCAUUUGAUUCUUUUCAUGCAAAUAAAACUUACAUGCUUUCCUAGGCUUUUUAGAUCCCCAUGCUUGCAAGUGGUUGGAGCGUGAGCUUGGUGGUGCAACGGUAAGAUUGUUGCUUAUUGACAAUGAGCUUAUGGAUUCAAAUCCUAGAAAUAGUCUAUGCUUAUAGGGUAAGGUUGCGUACAUCUGCCCCUUCAGACUCCACUAAGUGGGAGUCUAGUGCUCUGGGUCACCCUAUGCUUGCAAGUAGUUGGCAUGGGAAAUGGAUUCAGUGACGGGGGCGGAAAAGUCAUCAUGACCUUUUUGCGAUAAGCACCGAUGGAUGAAAAUCAGAUGUCUUAAAUUCCAAUGUGUUAUGUUAACAUUUUCUGACAUCAGAAUCUAAGCUAUCUGGUUUUGAUCCAAUGGUAGUGAUGGACCUAAGUUAUGGUGACAUUUUGCCACUGAACCUAGUUGUUCUAUUGGCAUCAAGUAGGUUUUCAUUUAAUUAUUCUUCACAAGGUAAGAAAUGUGUACUGACUUGUUAAAGUUUUAGUUUCCAGUUUGUUCUCAUUGUUUCACUGCAGGGUGUAAACUCUCCUCAAGUUCUUGUUUGGUAACUCAUCUAAUGCAUUGAACCGAUGAUGUAAAAACUGUACCGUACUGACCGGUUUAACCGGAAAACCGAUCCCCUAAUCAGUACGGUACAGAUGUUGAACUGGCCAAGUAUCAAAAUCGGUCAAAACCAGUGAACCGGCCGGUAUUUGACUAAACCGGCCGGUUUAUACACAAUUUCUAUGCCUUUUUAUUUUAUUUACAUUUUAGUUUGACCCUUGGUUUUUGUAAAUCAAUGUUAAGUUAAUUGUAUAUGUUGAAGCAUUCAAAGAUAUAUGCUUUUCUAUACUAAUAAAAUGGCGUUAGAAUUGAGUAUUCUUA
Molecule: long non-coding RNA, 1767 nt
Filed under: Lupinus angustifolius (narrow-leaved blue lupine)
Lineage: Eukaryota; Viridiplantae; Streptophyta; Magnoliopsida; Fabales; Fabaceae
Description: long non-coding RNA (LANG_LNC001935)
Source: RNAcentral